This 518-nucleotide ribosomal RNA is filed under the name uncultured Glomus. RNAcentral describes it as "SSU rRNA". It matches the Rfam family "Eukaryotic small subunit ribosomal RNA", at positions 569 to 1088 of the family's 1831-position model. The record is from RNAcentral. Lineage: Eukaryota; Fungi; Glomeromycota; Glomeromycetes; Glomerales; Glomeraceae.
AGCAGCCGCGGUAAUUCCAGCUCCAAUAGCGUAUAUUAAAGUUGUUGCAGUUAAAAAGCUCGUAGUUGAAUUUCGGGAUCAAUAUGUUGGUCGUGCCUUGGUACGUACUGGCAUUAUUGGUUCCUACCUUCUGAAGAACCUCGAUGUCAUUAAUUUGGUGUCUUGGGGAAUCAGGACUGUUACUUUGAAAAAUUAGAGUGUUUAAAGCAGGCUCGCGCUUGAAUACAUUAGCAUGGAAUAAUGAAAUAGGACGUUUGAUUCUAUUUUGUUGGUUUCUAGGAUCGACGUAAUGAUUAAUAGGGAUAGUUGGGGGCAUUAGUAUUCAAUUGUCAGAGGUGAAAUUCUUGGAUUUAUUGAAGACUGACUACUGCGAAAGCAUUUGCCAAGGAUGUUUUCAUUAAUCAAGAACGAAAGUUAGGGGAUCGAAGACGAUCAGAUACCGUCGUAGUCUUAACCAUAAACUAUGCCGACUAGGGAUCGGAUGAUGUUAAUUUUUAAUGUACUCAUUCGGUGUACCG